Molecule: ribosomal RNA, 253 nt
Filed under: uncultured bacterium
Lineage: Bacteria
Description: partial 16S ribosomal RNA
Rfam family: Bacterial small subunit ribosomal RNA
Source: RNAcentral
UACAGAGGUGGCAAGCGUUGUUCGGAAUUACUGGGCGUAAAGGGCGCGUAGGCGGUCCCGUCAGUCCCUUGUGAAAUCCCCCGGCUCAACUGGGGAACUGCAAGGGAUACAGCGGGGCUUGAGUUCGGGAGAGGGAAGCGGAAUUCCGGGUGUAGCGGUGAAAUGCGUAGAUAUCUGGAGGAACACCGGUGGCGAAGGCGGCGUCCUGGACCAACACUGACACUGAGGAGCGAAAGCCAGGGGAGCAAACGGG